This is a long non-coding RNA of Ailuropoda melanoleuca (giant panda), 1027 nucleotides long. RefSeq lists it as uncharacterized. NCBI's taxonomy places the organism in Eukaryota, Metazoa, Chordata, Mammalia, Carnivora, Ursidae. The record is from RefSeq and is a predicted model, not a curated record. The transcript is spliced from 2 exons.
GGAUGGAUGAUACAUGGAUAGACGGACAGAUGGAUGGAUGGACAGAUGGAUGAAUGGAUGGACAGAUGGACAAACGGAUGGACGGAUGGAUGGAUGAUUGGAUGUGUCAGCAUAUGACAAGUGGGUCCAAAUCCCAUUUAACGUAAAAGGUCUGGGGCCUGGGAUGCUGGAAACAGCCUGUGGCCUUCACCUGGGCCUCCCUCAUGCUCCUUGUAGCUCGUCAGCCACAUUCCCUGGAAAGGCAACAUGCCCGUCCAGCCCUUGGCACACUGAACCCUAGUCGCAGAUUUAGGUGUCAACCUGGAGCACCCUCAGGGUCCAUGUCUGGUCCUCUCUGACCACAGCCAGGGUCCAGACCAAGGCCAAGACAAGAACAAGGGCUUGGUGAGGGCUGGGUGAGCAUGUCCAUGGGGCUGGGAGGGCUUGGGCUCUAUUUAGAGCAGCAAAGCCAGUGCCCAGCCUCUCGCCUUGCCAGGCCUCUCUCCCUAAGGUCCUGCCAGGAUUCCUUUAGACAUGGGCAUCCUUUGGGGAUCUGUCGUCUCAUUCUCCCUGAGGCAGCCUCAGACCUGAGAAAUGGCACCCCCGUUGCCCCUGUCCCGACCCUGAGGGUGAGUGGGAGGGGAAGGCAUUGGCUCGGCCCCCACCCACACAGGCAUGGGUCUGGCAGACCCACAGUGUCUUGCAGAUUGCCAGGAGCCACGUCCCUGGCUGGUGCUGGACCUGCCACAGGAGGACCUGGAGGAAGACACCCCAGGAGCCAGCCUGUGGCCCACCACCGUCACCCUGCUCACCCUCUUCCUACUGAGUCUCUUCUACAGUACAGCACUGACGGUGACAAGCGUGCGGGGCCCAGCCGACAGCAGAGAGGGCCCCCAGUACUGAGCAGAGGCCAGCCAGACACAGGGAGGAGUCCAGAGGAGCCUUCUGGAACCCCAGCUGGAUGCCAGAGCUCAGCCCUGCUGAGAAGCUGCCCACCCACCCCACACGCAGGCCUUGCUGGUGCAAUAAAGUGAUACCAAAGACAAAA